AGCGAACGCUGGCGGCAGGCUUAACACAUGCAAGUCGAGCGCUCGUAGCAAUACGGGAGCGGCAGACGGGUGAGUAACACGUGGGAACGUACCUUUUGGUUCGGAACAACACAGGGAAACUUGUGCUAAUACCGGAUAAGCCCUUACGGGGAAAGAUUUAUCGCCAAAAGAUCGGCCCGCGUCUGAUUAGCUUGUUGGUGAGGUAACGGCUCACCAAGGCGACGAUCAGUAGCUGGUCNGAGAGGAUGAUCAGCCACAUUGGGACUGAGACACGGCCCAAACUCCUACGGGAGGCAGCAGUGGGGAAUAUUGGACAAUGGGCGCAAGCCUGACUCCA
RNAcentral lists this ribosomal RNA (337 nucleotides) under uncultured bacterium. RNAcentral's name for it is "bacterial SSU rRNA". It matches the Rfam family "Bacterial small subunit ribosomal RNA", at positions 29 to 390 of the family's 1533-position model. The record is from RNAcentral.